GAGGUCAUAUGGAUUGCUUGGAAUUUCAGGGCAUUGCAGGGAGGAUGGUGAACUAGGGGAACAGAGCUGGUGACUGUGGAACGGACUGGAAGACAAUUUUGAAAGUUGAUGUUCAUGCCCCAAACUUGGAGGACAAGUGAAAUUAUUUUUAUAAAGAAGAAGAUGAUAUAAUCACUCUACCUAACAUCUCUACCUGGACAAAAACUGAAGUUUAAUUUUCAAGAUAUAGAUAACCCUCUGUUGACACUCUACUGCAUUCUAGAAUGCCCUACUGGUCUCCUCAGCCCUGACUUCAUUUGGGACCUUUCUUCUCAGAAUAACAGUAAACAGCAAUUACAUUUUACAACAUUGUGAAGUUGAUCAGUUCACUCAAAUGUGGUGACAGCUGGAUAGCAGUCACAAUUUCCCUUCCUUUUCACUCCUCCCACGUGCCGGGAAGCCAAGGCCAGGAAGGACAGGUGAGACCAGGCUUCGGGGGUCUGGACCAGCUCCAGGAAGCAAGCCUCCAGCCCAGCUGUCAUCUGUGGGAAGUGGCUCUUGGUUGAGCAGUGGUACUUUCCAGUGUCAGCACUGUGUCAGCAGCCCAGACUCCGCUCUGAGGGGCCCCACGUCCUCAGCCAUCUUUCAUCUCGGGAAAAUUCUCUGGUCUAAAGAGCUUAGUCUCAGUGGGGAGGGAGGAUGGGGCCUCAGUGAAGCAGAUGGUUGGGUACUUGAACAGCGAUCUCGUACGGAAAGGAGACUCUGAGAAGUGACAAAUGGGAGGUAAUUGGGUUGGAACUCAUUUUUGUUCUUAUAACUCUGACAGAAACCUGACAUGGCUUGCACUGUGAUCUCUUAAUAAAAGGUCAUUACCA
This is a long non-coding RNA of Peromyscus californicus insignis, 854 nucleotides long. RefSeq lists it as uncharacterized. The transcript has 2 exons. Lineage: Eukaryota; Metazoa; Chordata; Mammalia; Rodentia; Cricetidae. The record is from RefSeq and is a predicted model, not a curated record.